AUGCAAAAUGCAUUGUUGAAGCUGUGGGCAAUGGUUGAAGAUAGCAAGAGUGCUAGGGUGAAUGAUAAUCUUGAAAGUUCUUUCACUAUCCACCAUCUGACAGAAGAGAAGAACAAGCUGGAGGCCAACUAUGACAAGUUAGUCCAAGAUGUGCAUGAGCUUAUGAGCUUCCAGGAGGAGAGGGUGGUGGAUUUUAGAUAUCUGCAGUCUAACAUUACAUAUCAGCAGCAAUGCAGAAGUGAACUGGUGGCUGAUAUGAAGGCACAGAUGGCAAAGAAAGAUGCGGAGUCUGAGAAGCUUAAGCAAAAUUAUGAAGUGCUACUGAACCUGACAAGAGCUCAAGCGACAAUCAUCCAGAACUUGAAGUUGAAGCAUAUUACAGACAAGCAAUUGCUUAGUGAAGCUAAGAUGAACUUGGAGUUGAAGAAUGCAUAUCUCACAAAGUCUGAGGAGAAGCUCACCCAAGAUAAGCCAGAGUUGAAGUUUUAG
RNAcentral lists this ribosomal RNA (489 nucleotides) under Triticum aestivum (bread wheat). RNAcentral's name for it is "partial small subunit ribosomal RNA". Lineage: Eukaryota; Viridiplantae; Streptophyta; Magnoliopsida; Poales; Poaceae. The record is from RNAcentral.